UCCGCUGACGACCGGCGCACGGGUGCGCAACGCGUAUGCAAUCUACCUCUUACUAAGGGAUAGCCCAGAGAAAUUUGGAUUAAUAUCUUAUGUGGUAUAUGACUGGCAUCAGUUAUAUAUUAAAGGUUACGGUAAGAGAUGAGCAUGCGUCCCAUUAGUUAGUUGGUGUGGUAACGGCACACCAAGACUUCGAUGGGUAGGGGUCCUGAGAGGGAGAUCCCCCACACUGGUACUGAGACACGGACCAGACUCCUACGGGAGGCAGCAGUGAGGAAUAUUGGACAAUGGACGGAAGUCUGAUCCAGCCAUGCCGCGUGUAGGAAGACUGCCCUAUGGGUUGUAAACUACUUUUAUACAGGAAGAAUAAGAUCUACGUGUAGAUUGAUGACGGUACUGUAAGAAUAAGGACCGGCUAACUCCGUGCCAGCAGCCGCGGUAAUACGGAGGGUCCGAGCGUUAUCCGGAAUUAUUGGGUUUAAAGGGUCCGUAGGCGGGCUGUUAAGUCAGAGGUGAAAUGCUGCGGCUCAACCGUAUGCACUGCCUUUGAUACUGGCGGUCUUGAGUUAUAGUGAAGUGGCUAGAAUAAGUAGUGUAGCGGU
Molecule: ribosomal RNA, 599 nt
Filed under: Paracellulophaga algicola
Lineage: Bacteria; Pseudomonadati; Bacteroidota; Flavobacteriia; Flavobacteriales; Flavobacteriaceae
Description: Cellulophaga algicola bacterial SSU rRNA
Rfam family: Bacterial small subunit ribosomal RNA
Source: RNAcentral